AGGGAAUAGUCAAUCAAAUUAAAUCGAUUAUGAUAAAUUGAGUUAUAUACCAAGAAAGUUCCACUUCAACUCAAACGAUCUUAAUCAAAUAGAACAACUUCAUAAUAGAAUAGAUGGUGUAAUUAAUAUUUUUAAUAAUAAUGUAUUGGACAUCACCCCCAAGAAUACAGUGUACAUUUUCAAUAUGUGAUUUUUGAGAAUUCUCAACUAUAAAUCGAUAUAUUUUUUCAUGCAGCCAAUGCUUGGUUUAAACUGACAUACCUUUACUAUCCAAUCCACUUUUGAUUGAAGAGAUGGUUUCUCUAAGGCAGACAUGAAAGUGAAGAGGUUGCAAGAUCCCCGAGUCCUAGCAGCAAAGAAAUUAUAAAUCAAUCAGCUUUAAGCCUUUCAUCCUAUCAAAUUAAGCAUAAAUAAUUUUUAAUAAACUAAUAGAUCUGCCAAUAAAUAGAGAAAAUCUCAAUUAACUGAGAACUUCCAUUUAAUAAGGAAUUAAGGAUGGUCAUACAUUGUAUUAACCAUAUUUGUGAGGUUGGUCAAUACAUUAAUGAAAGAUGAUGAACAAUAAUAAUAAAGUACAGACAUGAACACCAUUGUAUACGUGGUUCAGCAAUUGUGCCUACAUCCACGGAGAGGGAGAAAGAAGUUUAUUAUAGUAGUGGUGAUACAAAAUGGGAGCUCGAUUAUGAGGAGAGCUCGAGAGAGAUGAGACCUGAGAGGUGAGGUCUCAUCAUGAGAGAUUGGGGAGGUCGUUGAUAUUGAGACCUCACCAUGAGAUAGUGUUGAGAGCAUUAGACUAUCAGAACCUCCCUAGAAUGAGUAGCUUGCCUUCAUAUUUAUAGGCUACAAUGUAACUCCCUUCCUAGCAUUUAUUGAGGUAAUGAUGAGAGAAUAUCUUUGUAGUAAUUGGCUUUAACUUUGUAACUUGUGCCCUCAAGAGAGAGCCCAUUAGAUGAUGACAUGUGGCACCAUGAUGGACGGUAGAGAUGGUGCCACAUGUAUGUUGUACCCCUACAUACAUUAAACCAAUUAUAUACUCUAAAUUAAUAUUUUAUCUAUUGUCAAUGGUGUAAAUAUAGCUGUCAGUAGCUCUUCUAACAACAUAUUUGCAUCAGUCUAUUAAUUGAUUAUUUUUAGUGUGAUUGGCCACUUUGGUGACUUGGGUUGUAUUGAACAUGCAUGACCUGAUGAGAAACACUACUAUCUUUGUCAACCUAACCCUAUUUAAAGAAGAAAAAAUAAGGAGAUAGUCGAUAUUGAUCUCUUCACAUAACUCAUAGAUAAGUAAAUGUGCAUUUACUUAGAGGUAACUGCAACAUGUAUACCACUAAUCAGUUUAAGCAAUUAUUAGGCAUCAUUCUAUAGAAAAAUAGAAAUAGAUGUAUAUAUGCAGCGAUGAACAAAAAAUAUUUGAGCAUUUAGAUUUGCAUUGACAAUUUACCCUCGUGUGGAAAAAAGUGUUAUAGAUGAGUGCAAGAACUUGAUGCAUAAUGAAAAACCAUAUCCACUUUUCAUCCAACAAUGCUUUUCAGUUUUCACCACCCACUCAAAAGAAAAAAAAGUUCUCAUUUCAAGAUCACUACAUCUGCACCCUGUUGAAAAAUCUGAUCAAGCAUGUUGGGCAUUCCUUCACUCACCAAACCAUUUAAACUGGAAAGGCCAAAAAAAAAUAUCAAAGAGAAACAGAAGAGAAAUAGCACCCAAAUAAAAAAAAGGCUGUGUGUAUUCUCACUGGUAGAAGCAACUGACCUCGUAUUCAACGACAAAGAAGACAAUGUACCCGGUGAAGCCACUAUACUCGCAGGCCCUACAGCAGAGGAGAAUAACGUCUCCAACUCAUAAGCAUCCUCAAACGCAGCUGUAUUGACCAAAACCGACAUAUCUACAUCUCCCUCAUUUAACAUAUCCACAUCCCUGGGAUCAUCCAAACUAACCAAAUAACACCCGAACAAAACA
RNAcentral lists this long non-coding RNA (1953 nucleotides) under Aquilegia coerulea. RNAcentral describes it as "long non-coding RNA (ACOE_LNC000435)". Lineage: Eukaryota; Viridiplantae; Streptophyta; Magnoliopsida; Ranunculales; Ranunculaceae. The record is from RNAcentral.